UGUUGGUUAUUCUGCAAUGUUAAUUCGUUAACUUUGUCAGAUCUGGAAAGAAGCAGCUAUAACGAAUGAUUCAUGUGCUGGAAUGUGACUAACAGGG
Molecule: signal recognition particle RNA, 97 nt
Filed under: Pantoea sp. SoEX
Lineage: Bacteria; Pseudomonadati; Pseudomonadota; Gammaproteobacteria; Enterobacterales; Erwiniaceae
Description: signal recognition particle sRNA small type
Rfam family: Bacterial small signal recognition particle RNA
About the family: The signal recognition particle (SRP) is a universally conserved ribonucleoprotein involved in the co-translational targeting of proteins to membranes.
Source: RNAcentral